RNAcentral lists this long non-coding RNA (6973 nucleotides) under Marmota monax (woodchuck). The stretch from base 4841 to 4909 matches the Rfam family "tRNA". The record is from RNAcentral. Lineage: Eukaryota; Metazoa; Chordata; Mammalia; Rodentia; Sciuridae.
GGGAUUUAACUCAAAGGCGCUGGGCCACAUCCCCAGCCCUAUUUUGUAUUUUAUUUAGAGACAAGAUGUCACCGAGUUGCCUAGUACCUUGCUUUUGCAGAGGCUGGGAACUCUCCAUCCUCCUGCCUCAGCCUCCCUAGCUUCUGGGAUUACAGGUGUGUGCAAUUGUGCCCAACUCAACAGUCAUUUUAAAUGUCAGUGGUCAGCCAGGUGUGGUGGCCCACACUUGUAGUUCCCACUGCUUGGACUAAGGCAAGGAAAUUGCUUGAGCCCAGGAGUUCAAGGCCAGGCUGGGCAACAUAGUGAGACCCUGUCUUGUUGUUUUUUGUUUUUUUGUUUUGUUUGUUUGUUUUGUUUUGUUUUUUGUUUUUUUAAGGACAAAAAUAACCUUCAUUGAUCAGUAGAUGAUAGAGACCAUCCGAGUGGGUCAGAAGCAAGACCUAACUAUGUCUUCUACAAGAAACCUCUUAUAAACAUAAAAAUGCAUAUAGCUUAAAAGUAAAGACAUGGAAAAAGAUGCUAAUAGGAAUCAAAAAAAGAGGGAAUGUUUACAUUAUUUUCAGUCACAACAGACUUCUGAGCAAGGAAAGGCACCAGGAAGAGAGGAAUAAUGCAUAAUGGUAAGGGCUUUAUACAUCAAAAAGACAACAAUUCCUGAUGCACCUAACAGCAGCAACAGAAAACUAAAGGCAAAAUCUGAUAGGCCUGCUAGGGGAAAGAAAUGAGUCUAGUACUAUAGUUGGAGACUCCAGCUAUUGUCUCUAUCUACAAUGGACAGAUCCAUCUGCAGACACAACUGAGCUCAUUACCAUUCAUCACUGGGAUAGACAUCCACAGACUCCUUCAUCUAACAACAGCAGGUUUGUUCUGUUUUUAUGGUGCUGGUGAUCAAACCCAAGGCUUUUUGCAUACUGACCAAGUGCUCUACCCCUGUACUACACUGCCAGCCCGGAUUAUAGUCUUCUGAAGUUCACUUGGAAUGUUCACCAAGACAGACCAUAUUCUAUGCCUGAGCACACUUUGAUGUGUUUAAAAGGAUAGACUGCCAGAUGUGGUGGCACAUGCCUGUAAUCCCAGCUACUCAGGAAGCUGAUGUAGGAAGAUCACAAAUCUCAAAAACUGGGAUGUGGAUCAAUGGGUUUAAUCCCUAAUACUGAAAGAAAAUGUACAACAUGUGCUGUCAGACCACAGUGAUAUUAAAACUAGAAAUUAAUAACAAAAAUAUAGGUAGAAAAUUCUGAAAUUUUGGAGUAUAAAGAGCAUGCUUUUUUCCUCCCACCCCAGUACAGGGGGUUGAGCCCCAGGUGUUCCCCAGCCUUUUUUAUUUAUUUUUUUAAUCUUGAGACAACACUUAGUUGCCCAGGCAGGUCUUGAACUUGGGGUCCUCUUACCUCAGCCUCUCAUGUCACAGGGAUUAUAGGAUUACAUGCUCUGCUAUACAGCAUACUUCUAAAUAAUGUGUGAGUCAAAGAAGAACUCUGAAGAAAUUUUUAAAUAUUUUGAAUUAAAUGAAGAUAAUAUCACCUAGCAAAUUCUGUGGACUAGAGUGAAAACAUGAUGAGAAAUUCAGGUCAGUGAAUGCAUUUAUUGAAAAGAAGAUCUUAAAGUCCUAGCCAUGGUGGUGCAUACCUGUAAUCCCAGCAUCUUGGGAGGCUGAGGCAAGAGGAUUGUGAGUUCAAAGCCAGCCUCAGCAAUUUAGCAAGGCCUAAAGCAACUCAUGAGACCCUGACUCUAAAUAAAAUAUUAAAAAGGGCUGGGAAUGUGGCUCAGUAAUUGAGUACCCCUGGGUUCAAUCCCUGGUAUAAAAAAAAAAAAAAAGUCAAUAUUCUAAGCUUCUACCUCAGGAAACUAGAGAAAAGAAGAGAAAAUUAAAUCCAGAGUGAACAGAAGAAAAGAAAUAAUAAAUGUGAAAAUGAAAACAGGAAAUCUGGGCUGGGGAUUUUGGCUCAGUGUAGAGCGCUCGCCUAGCACAGGGGGGACGCAGGUUCGAUCCUGAGCACCACAUAAAAAUAAAGGCAUUGUGUUGUGCCCAUCUCCACCUAAAAAAUAUUAAAAACAAACAAACAAAACAUGAAAUCAGUAGAGAAAAAUCAAUAAAACCAGGAGUUGGUUCUUUGAAGCGAUCAAUAAAGUUGAUAAGCAUCUAUCUAGAUCAAGAAGGACAGAGAGAAUACAAAUCACUGAUAUCAGAAAUGAAUAGUUCUUGUGACAUGGAGAGGUCAAAAGGAUAUUAUAAACAGCACUUUGCUCACAAAUUGGAUAACUUAGAUGAAUUGAACUAAUUCCUUGGAAAAUCAAUCUCUCCAAACUCACUCAACAAUAAGUAGAUAAACUGAAUAGGUCUAUGUGUAUUAAAGAAAUUGAGUUAACAAUUAACCUUCCAAAACAGUUCCCUGGCUCAAAUGGGUUCAUUUGUGAAUUCUGACCCAUUUAAGUAUGAAAUUAUGCUAUUUUUUCUCCUCUUUUCCAGAGGAUAUAAAUACUUCCUGGCUCAUUCUAUGAUGUCAGCAUUAUCAUACGAGCAAAAUCAAAGACACUACAAGAAAAUAAAACAGUGGACAAAUAUGAAUAUGGAUGUAAAAGUUAUCAACAAAAUAUUAACAAAUCAGAUUCAGUAAUGUAUAAAAAGAACUAUACCAUGACUAAGUGAAGUUUAUCUUAGGUAUGCACAACUAGUUCAACAUUGAAACAUCAAUGUAGUUCACACUUAAGAAGAAAGAUCACAUGGUCAUAUCAAUAGAUACAGAAAAAGCAUUUGACAAAAUUCAACAUUCAUGAUAAAAACUCAGAAGGUUUGGGUAUAGAGGGGAGAUUCCUCAACUUGGUUUAAAAAAAAUACCUACAAAAAUUUUUAAUGGGAAAAAACUUGAAGCUUUUCCUCUAAGAUCAGGAACAAGGCCAGAACGACUCCUUUUACCACUGCUUUUCAACACCGUACAGGACGCUGUAGCUAAUGGAAUAAAGCAAGAAAAGGAAAUAAAGGCUAUUACAUAUUGGGAAUGAAGAAAUAUAACUGUUUACAGAUGACACCAUUGUCUAGGUGAUAGGCCAUCUAUGGAUAGGAAGACUCAAUAUUGUCAAGAUGUUAGUCAUUACAGUGGCCCACACCUGGAAUCCCAGCUACUCAGGAGACUGAGGCAGAAGGAUCGCAAGUUGGAAGCCAACAAUCUGGCCAGCUAGUAAGAAGCUUCUCAAAAAGGCUCUGGAUGUAGUUAAGUGAUAGAGCGCUUGCCUAGCAUGCCCAAGACUGGGUUUAAUCCCCAGUAACUGCGCAAAAAAAAAAAGAUGAAAAAAGUCACUUUUCCCAACUUGAUCUAUAAAUUCAACAUAAUUCCAAUUAAAAUCUCAGUAGGUUAUUUUGUGGAUGUCAAAAAACUUACUCUGGGGGGCUGGGGUUGUGGCUCAGCGGUAGGGCACUCGCCUAGCAUGUGCAAGGCGCUGGGUUCAAUCCUCAGCACCACAUAAAAAUGAAUAAAUAAAGGUAUUGUGUCCAACUACAACUAAAAAAAAAUAUUUUAAAAAAAUGACUCUGAGGUUUAUAUGGCAAGGUAAGAGACCUAGAAUAACUCACUCAGUAUUGAAGGAACGGCACAAAAUCAAAAUCGGACUCAUACCAUCUGAUUGCAAGGUUCACUGUACAGCUACAGUUAUCAGGGCAGUGUGGUACUGCUGAAGAAGUAGACACAGACUAUUAAAGCAAAAUAGAGAGCCUGUAGUUAUCAGAUGAUCGCAUGCGAAGAAAACGAAUGUAGAUGCCCUCUACCAGAGGCGCACCAUGAUCCCAGCACUGAGGAGGCUGAAGCAGGAGGAUUGCAAGUUCACUUGGAUCCUGUCUCAAAAAUAAAGGUCUGGGGUGUAUUUAGUGGUAGAGCAUCCUUGAGUUAAAUCCCAGUACCACACACAAAAGACCCAUUAAGUCCCAAGUUUUAGGGCUGGGGCUAGGACUCAGUGAUAGAGCACUCACCUAGCAUGCACAAGGUACUGGGUUUGAUCCUUAGCACCACAUAAAAAAUAAAGUGAUCAUUAAAAAAAAAAGUCCCAAGGUUUUAGUUCUGUGAUGGUGUCAAUGAAAUUAAAACAGGUUCAUUGAGAUAGGUUGGAAAUCAUAAUCUAGACUUUACACAUAGUUAUAUUAAUCUUAAUGUUAUAUAUUACAUAAUUUUAUAAUUCCAUCUAAGUGUUUAUUGGUAUUCCACAUCUGGAAUACUGGGACAAAAUGGGUUCAGCAAGUCGUAGUCUGCUCAUACUUAGUCUGCAGCUGUAACAAAAUGCUAUAAAAUGAGUGCUUAAACAGAAAUUCAUUUUCUCACAGUUCUGGAGGUUGGAAGUCUGUCAGUUUGUCCGUUUUUGGUGAGGAUUCUCUUGCUAUCUCACAGAUGAUUAUCUUCUCACUGUGUCCUCAUCUGGUAGAGAAAAGAAAUCUUCUGGUCUCUGUUAAAAGGGCACUAAUCCACUAAUGGGGCCCCACUCCCAGUUAUCUUUCAAAGGCCUCAUCUCCAAAUGCCAUUGAAAGUUAAGACUUUAAAUAAGCUGAAGGUCACAGUUCAGUCCAUAGCAGACUUCAUAGCCCUAAAUAUAAAACUUCUAGAUGAUAAGAGAAAAUGUAGAUUUGAGCUUGGGUUCUAUAGUAAGUUUGGGAAUGUGACAUCAAAAGCAUGAUCCAUAAAGUAAAUGGUUGAUAAGCUAGAUUUCAUUAAGAUUAAAAACUAAUGCAGUUGGGUAUGGUGAUGCACAUCUGUAAUCCCAGCAACUCAUGAGGCUGAGGCAGAAAGAUCACAAAUUCAAGGUCAGCCUGUGUAAGUUAGCAAGACACUAUCUCAAAAAAGUCUGAGGAGGGGCUGGGGUUGUGGCUCAGUGGUAGAGCACUCACCUAGCAUGUAUGAGGCCCUGGGUUCGAUCCUCAGCACCACAUAAAGAUAAAUAAAUAAAUGUAUUGUGUCCAUCUACAACUAAAAGAUAUUAAGAAAAAAAAAAAAGGCUGAGGAUGAAGGUCAGUUGUAGAGCAUUCCUGGGUUCAAUCACCACUACCAAAACCAAAAACUUUCACAAAAGACAGUAAGAAUUUUCAGACUCAAGAGAUGUGUCCAUCUACAACUAAAAAAAAAAGACGAAAGGCCUGAACAGACACCUGGCCAAAGACACACAGAUGGCAGGCCUGUGUAAAGAUGCUGCUUGUUGUGUCACUAGAAUGCAAGUUAGAGCCACAGUGAGAUGCCACUGCAUGCUUUUUUAGAAUGGCACAUCCAGGAAGUUGACAGCACCCAGUAUCAGCGAGGAUGGGGAACAGCGGAAUGUGCCUUCAUCGCUGUUGAAAUGCACGGUGUUGUGGCUGCCACGGAAGAUGCUGGCCAGUAUCUUACAGAAGUGCACACACAAGAUCACAUUCACAGUCUUGGUGUUUAUCCAAAGUGAACUGAAAAUUCAUGUUCACACAAACCCUGUACACAAAUUUUAUGAGCACUUUAUUCAUAAUUGCUAAAAGUUGGAAGCAACCAAGAUAUUCUUUAAUAGAUGAGUGGAAUGGGAUGAUAUGUGGGGCUAAAAAGAAGUGAGCUUACCAAGCUAUGAGGAGCUGUGAAGGAGUCUUAGUGUGCAUGACUAGGGGAAAGAGGCAGCUUGAAAGGUUGCGUGUGUAUUCCAGAAUGACGCUCCUGCAAAGUUGAAACUGUAGACGCAAGAAAAAUACAAAUGGGUACCAGGAAAUGGAAGAGGGGUGGGUGCACAGAGAGACUUGGGGACAGGGGGACUCUGGUAGUGCAGUGGUGGAUCCAGCAUGCAUUGUCAGCACCCAGGGACUGCAACACAAGAGCAGCCCCGUGGUGGCUGUGGACUCCAGGUGGUGUGUCCCUGUGGGUUCAUCCAUUCUGACACUUGUACCACCCUGAUGCAUGAUUUCCUGAGCACAUGUUAAGAUUCAGGGUGAACUUGUGCCUUCCUCCAGGCACCACGUAUUCUGGGGUUUUCUUUGGGAAAGCACACAUCAUUGGGAGGUGAGACACGGGUCAGGAAUUGAAAUUUUAUUCUCAUAGAUCUGGGGAUACCCCAAGGCCAUACAGGCUAGUCAGCAAGAAGGGCAAGGGGUGGGGACCUGGAGCAUCUACCAUUAGGGUCCAGGGUAUGGGCAGAAGCAUGGACCGGAGAGAAGUUCCAUGCUGAUGGCUUAGUCCUCUUGUGCAUUUAGUCAGGCAGCUGGUAGGGUUGGGGCUUGAAGCAGUGAUCUUGUGACCCCACGAAUCAGAGGGAGUAGUUGGAGAGCUUGGGUUGGACAGGGCUACGGUGGAUCCAUGUACUCCAGAGAGCCUUGUGUCAAAAGUUUGGUGCCCUGGGUAGCACAGUUGGGAGGUGGGGGCUUGUGGGACCCUACCAGUACUCUCUGCUUCCUUGCUCCUGGUGUAAGCAGUUGGCUCUGCCACACACUUCUGCCAUUUCCGUCUGGUGCCCUCACUAGAGGGCCAAAGCAAGAGGUCUGCCUGAUCUUGGACUAGAACCUCCAGAACCACGAGCUAAAUAAAAAUGCUAUCUUUAUAAGUUAAUUGCCUCAGGUAUUUUGUUAUAAUAACACAAAGCUCACCAAUACAGGCUAUUAGCUAAAAACGUGUUAUGCCGGCAUCAAGGAACUCAUGUGAGUAAAAGAAUGGAGCUGGGUAUGGUGGCACAUGCUUGUAAACCCAGUGACUAAGGAGGCUGAGGCAGCGGAAUUGCAAGUUUGAGUCCAGCCUGGGCAACUUAGACCCUGUCUCAAAAAAGGCAUAGGGGUAUAGUUUAGUGACGGUGUCCCUGGGUUCAAUCUCCAGCACAAGAUCAAAAUCAGAAUUAAUACUGAAGCACUCUGGGCAUGGUGGUACAGGCCUGUAAUCCCAGCAGCUCACGAGGCUGAGGCAGAAGGAUCACAAGUUCAAAGCCAGCCUCAGCAAUGGUGAGGCACUAAGCAACUCAAUGAGACUCUGUCUCUAAAAUACAAAAUAGGGCUGGG